GAGCGAACGAAUGAAUGGAUAAAGCAUCAUUGAUACCAAUUGAAAGAUUGAACUUUGUAAUUCUAUAGGUUUUGUUAUAAGUUGAGAUCAUUAUCAUCCAUUGAUAUUAAGGUUGUAACGAAUUUUUGAGCCUUGCAUAUUUUAUUGAACCUUGCCUUAAAAAAUGUGCAGUCAUGUUGUAUGGUUGAUCUAGGUGUUGGGUUUGGAGUAUAAUAAAAUGGUAUCAGAGUUUAGAUUAUGAUUACUAGAGAUUAUGAAAUAAAUGGUAUUAAAACUUUGGUUUGUGAUCACUAGAGAUUGUGACAGAAGUGGUAUCAGAGCAUAUAUUUAGGAUUGUUAGGAGUUGUUAUAGAAAUGAUUUGUAGGAUUUGGCAUAUAAUGAAUGUAAAAGGUUUGACAUUUCGUAUCUCAA
RNAcentral lists this long non-coding RNA (412 nucleotides) under Elaeis guineensis (African oil palm). Its description in RNAcentral is "long non-coding RNA (EGUI_LNC007677)". The record is from RNAcentral. Lineage: Eukaryota; Viridiplantae; Streptophyta; Magnoliopsida; Arecales; Arecaceae.